GAAAGCGGGGCUAAUACCGCAUAACACUCUGAAGCACAAGCUUCAGAGUCAAAGCCUUCGGGUGCUUGAGGAUGAGCUUGCGCCUUAUUAGCUAGUUGGUGGGGUAAUGGCCUACCAAGGUAAUGAUGAGUAGCCGGCCUGAGAGGGUGUACGGCCACACUGGAACUGCGACACGGUCCAGACUCCUACGGGAGGCAGCAGUGGGGAAUUUUGCGCAAUGGGCGAAAGCCUGACGCAGCGACGCCGCGUGGAGGAUGAAGGCCUUCGGGUUGUAAACUCCUGUCAGAGGUGAAGAAUGCCCUUCGGGGUUUGACGGUAACCUCAGAGGAAGCCCCGGCUAACUACGUGCCAGCAGCCGCGGUAAUACGUAGGGGGCGAACGUUGCUCGGAAUUACUGGGCGUAAAGGGUGCGUAGGUGGCUGAGCAAGUCGCUGAUGAAAUCCCGAGGCUCACCCUCGGAACUGUCAUCGAAACUGCUCAGCUUGAG
Molecule: ribosomal RNA, 487 nt
Filed under: uncultured bacterium
Lineage: Bacteria
Description: bacterial SSU rRNA
Rfam family: Bacterial small subunit ribosomal RNA
Source: RNAcentral